UCGCGGCGGUGCGCGCAGAAGGGUCUGGGCUCGAGCCUGCCUGGAGCCGCCGCCGGUGCAGAUCUUGGUGGUAGUAGCAAAUACUCCAGCGAGGCCCUGGAGGACUGAUGUGGAGAAGGGUUUCGUGUGAACAGCCGUUGCACACGAGUCAGUCGAUCCUAAGCCCUAGGAGAAAUCCGAUGCAAACGGCGAUGGGAAAAAUGAACUGACUGACUUGUUUAACAGAACAGUAAAGAGACCCAUUGAUCGGGCGAAAGGGAAUCCGGUUCCUAUUCCGGAACCCGGCAGCGGAACCGUUGUUUGUCGGGCCCUCGCAAGGGGUUCGUCAGGGCAACCUAAAAGGGCCCGGAGACGCCGUCGGGGGCCCCGGAAAGAGUUUUCUUUUCUGCAUGAGCGUUCGAGUUCCCUGGAAUCCUCUCGCAGGGAGAUAGGGUUUGGAACGCGAAGAGCACCGCAGUUGCGGCGGUGCACGGGAAUUCCCGACGGACCUUGAAAAUCCGGGAGAGGGCCACGUGGAGGUGUCGCGCCGGCUCGUACCCAUAUCCGCAGCAGGUCUCCAAGGUGAAUAGCCUCUAGUC
RNAcentral lists this ribosomal RNA (578 nucleotides) under Onychothemis testacea. RNAcentral's name for it is "eukaryotic LSU rRNA". It matches the Rfam family "Eukaryotic large subunit ribosomal RNA", at positions 1389 to 1888 of the family's 3401-position model. Lineage: Eukaryota; Metazoa; Arthropoda; Insecta; Odonata; Libellulidae. The record is from RNAcentral.